Molecule: ribosomal RNA, 497 nt
Filed under: uncultured bacterium
Lineage: Bacteria
Description: partial 16S ribosomal RNA
Rfam family: Bacterial small subunit ribosomal RNA
Source: RNAcentral
GAUGAACGCUGGCGGCGUGCCUAAUACAUGCAAGUCGAGCGAACGGACGAGAAGCUUGCUUCUCUGAUGUUAGCGGCGGACGGGUGAGUAACACGUGGAUAACCUACCUAUAAGACUGGGAUAACUUCGGGAAACCGGAGCUAAUACCGGAUGAUAUUUUGAACCGCAUGGUUCAAAAGUGAAAGACGGUCUUGCUGUCACUUAUAGAUGGAUCCGCGCUGCAUUAGCUAGUUGGUAAGGUAACGGCUUACCAAGGCAACGAUGCAUAGCCGACCUGAGAGGGUGAUCGGCCACACUGGAACUGAGACACGGUCCAGACUUCUACGGGAGGCAGCAGUAGGGAAUCUUCCGCAAUGGGCGAAGGCCUGACGGAGCAACGCCGCGUGAGUGAUGAAGGUCUUCGGAUCGUAAAACUCUGUUAUUAGGGAAGAACAUAUGUGUAAGUAACUGUGCACAUCUUGACGGUACCUAAUCAGAAAGCCACGGCUAACUACGUG